CAAAACCUGAGGUGUUCGACAAACCUGUGUUUUUGAUCCUACAUAUUGACAUAGGGAUCCCUACAUUGCCGCGUUGAUGUCAGGCCUCCUGUGAGUGGAAGACUGAGGCGUGUGCUGCGGCAACCCACCUAGCUACGGCUGGGAGUCAGAAAACAGGAACGGCAUCUCGGGAUUGGA
This 177-nucleotide non-coding RNA is filed under the name Lachnospiraceae bacterium. RNAcentral describes it as "6S RNA". It matches the Rfam family "6S / SsrS RNA". Rfam says of the family: E. coli 6S RNA was the first non coding RNA to be sequenced, but its function was unknown until recently. Lineage: Bacteria; Bacillati; Bacillota; Clostridia; Lachnospirales; Lachnospiraceae. The record is from RNAcentral.